GACGAACGCUGGCGGCGUGCUUAACACAUGCAAGUCGAACGAUGAACCCGGAGCUUGCUCCGGUGGAUUAGUGGCGAACGGGUGAGUAACACGUGAGUAACCUGCCCUUGACUCUGGGAUAACUGCGGGAAACUGUAGCUAAUACCGGAUACGACCCUCGGCGGCAUCGCCAGGGGGUGGAAAGAAUUUCGGUCAAGGAUGGACUCGCGGCCUAUGAGCUAGUUGGUGAGGUAACGGCUCACCAAGGCGACGACGGGUAGCCGGCCUGAGAGGGUGACCGGCCAACCGGGGACUGGGAAACGGCCGAGAGUCCGACGGGAGGAAGCAGUGGGGAAUAUUGCACAAUGGGCGCAAGCCUGAUGCAGCAACGCGGCGUGAGGGAUGACGGCCUUCGGGUUGUAAACCUCUUUUAGUAGGGAAGAAGCGAAAGUGACGGUACCUGCAGAAAAAGCACCGGCUAACUACGUGCCAGCAGCAGCCGCCG
RNAcentral lists this ribosomal RNA (484 nucleotides) under uncultured bacterium. RNAcentral's name for it is "partial 16S ribosomal RNA". It matches the Rfam family "Bacterial small subunit ribosomal RNA", at positions 28 to 523 of the family's 1533-position model. The record is from RNAcentral.